This 253-nucleotide ribosomal RNA is filed under the name uncultured bacterium. RNAcentral describes it as "partial 16S ribosomal RNA". It matches the Rfam family "Bacterial small subunit ribosomal RNA", at positions 524 to 776 of the family's 1533-position model. The record is from RNAcentral.
UACGAAGGGAGCUAGCGUUGUUCGGAAUCACUGGGCGUAAAGCGCGCGUAGGUGGCCCGGUAAGUCCGCUCUGAAAGUCACAGGCUCAACCUGUGAAAGCGGGUGGAUACUGCCGGGCUAGAGUCCGGAAGAGGCGAGUGGAAUUCCUGGUGUAGCGGUGGAAUGCGCAGAUAUCAGGAGGAACACCAACGGCGAAGGCAGCUCGCUGGGACGGUACUGACACUGAGGCGCGAAAGCGUGGGGAGCGAACAGG